UACGAAGGGGGCUAGCGUUGUUCGGAAUUACUGGGCGUAAAGCGCACGUAGGCGGGUUGUUAAGUCAGGGGUGAAAUCCUGGAGCUCAACUCCAGAACUGCCUUUGAUACUGGCAACCUAGAGACUGGAAGAGGUUAGUGGAAUUCCCGGUGUAGAGGUGAAAUUCGUAGAUAUCGGGAGGAACACCGGUGGCGAAGGCGGCGACCUGGGUCGAGACUGACGCUGAGGCGCGAAAGCGUGGGGAGCAAACAGG
This 253-nucleotide ribosomal RNA is filed under the name uncultured bacterium. RNAcentral describes it as "partial 16S ribosomal RNA". It matches the Rfam family "Bacterial small subunit ribosomal RNA", at positions 524 to 776 of the family's 1533-position model. The record is from RNAcentral.